This is a long non-coding RNA of Sapajus apella (tufted capuchin), 101 nucleotides long. RefSeq lists it as uncharacterized. Lineage: Eukaryota; Metazoa; Chordata; Mammalia; Primates; Cebidae. The transcript is spliced from 3 exons. The record is from RefSeq and is a predicted model, not a curated record.
ACAGGACCAGGACCAGGACCAGGACCAGAGCAAGGAUGGGGCCACAGAGAAGGCAGGACCAGGAAGAGUCCAGAGCAAGGGCAUGGCCAGGGCAGAAUAAG